AAAUAACUAAAAGAUAUAAAUAAAUAUAAAAAUAAAAAAAUUAUUAUGUAAUUUUAUAAGUUAAAAAAAAAGACUUUACCUCACACACUGUUUCUUUUCUCUCCAAAUAUUUCUUUUCUCUCCAAAUCGGAGAGAACGAACUCAAAGGAAAAUAUUAGAUAUUUUCUUUUACUCCUCAUUUUUUCUCUAUUUUUUUUAAAUAUCACAUCAUAAAUAUUUUUUAUAAUUUAUUUUCCUGCCUCUCUCUUUUUUUCCGAUCCAAACAAGCAAGUUAAAGAUUUUCUCAAGAAAAGCUGAUAAGCUUAUAUCUAGAGUUUUCCAUCCACUAGCAAAAGGGCUAGUUAGUAGUUAAAUUUCAUCCUUGAAAAUUGAGUUUAUUUUUAAUUUAGUUUAAUUGUUUUAGAAGUAUUAAUUUAAAUUUA
Molecule: unclassified non-coding RNA, 422 nt
Filed under: Hevea brasiliensis (rubber tree)
Lineage: Eukaryota; Viridiplantae; Streptophyta; Magnoliopsida; Malpighiales; Euphorbiaceae
Source: RNAcentral